Molecule: long non-coding RNA, 456 nt
Organism: Esox lucius (northern pike)
Lineage: Eukaryota; Metazoa; Chordata; Actinopteri; Esociformes; Esocidae
Source: Ensembl
CAAAACUACAGUUAAUAUCAGUAACGUCAUUCUGACUAGUCAAAACUACAGUUAAAGAUAUCUGUUAUUCAGUCUUGACAAAUCAAAAGUGGUUCUGGGACAGUAACGUACCUGGCUAACCAGCUAUUGAAGCUAGUUAACACUACUACGAGCCCCGUGUCAUCAUUUCUGGACAAGGAAUCUCAGGCUGAGCUCAGUGAAAAAGUGUUCCACUCGCUGGGACAGAAAUAAAUACUCAAGUCGAGUUUGAGUAUUCAAGGUGCAGUUCUGGGUCCCAACAACAAAGGAAGGUGAAGAUAGAAUUGAUGACCACUCAGACUCAUUUCUGACAACGAGGAAGAGUAAAGCUUCCAUUUUUGCUUGUGUUAUUGUAUUUUGAGGGUUGGAUAAUAUUUAUUCUUGUUUUAUCAGUUUAUUUAAAAAAAAACAUGAUUUUUCACAAUUUCUCACCAUUAG